ACUCAAAACUCAAAGGACUUGACGGUGUCCCAAACCAACCUAGAGGAGCCUGUCCUAUAAUCGAUAAUCCACGCUACACCUCACCCCCUCUCGAAACCAGUCUGUAAACCGCCGUCUUUCAGUUCGCCUUAUGACAGACCCAUAGCGAACACAACAGCCCAUCACUCAAACGUCAGGUCAAGGUGCAACUAAUGAUGGGGCAGCGAUGGGCUACAUUUUCUAUAACAGAACACCACCACCCACCACAUGAAACAUGGGCCAUAAGGCGGAUUUAGCAGUAAGCCAAACA
RNAcentral lists this ribosomal RNA (289 nucleotides) under Tarentola mauritanica (Moorish gecko). RNAcentral describes it as "partial 12S ribosomal RNA". The record is from RNAcentral. Lineage: Eukaryota; Metazoa; Chordata; Lepidosauria; Squamata; Phyllodactylidae.